AUUGAACGCUGGCGGCAGGCCUAACACAUGCACGUCGAGCGGAUGAAGGGAGCUUGCUCCUGGAUUCAGCGGCGGACGGGUGAGUAAUGCCUAGGAAUCUGCCUGGUAGUGGGAGAUAACGUCCGGAAACGGGCGCUAAUACCGCAUACGUCCUGAGGGAGAAAGUGGGGGAUCUUCGGACCUCACGCUAUCAGAUGAGCCUAGGUCGGAUUAGCUAGUUGGUGGGGUAAAGGCCUACCAAGGCGACGAUCCGUAACUGGUCUGAGAGGAUGAUCAGUCACACUGGAACUGAGACACGGUCCAGACUCCUACGGGAGGCAGCAGUGGGGAAUAUUGGACAAUGGGCGAAAGCCUGAUCCAGCCAUGCCGCGUGUGUGAAGAAGGUCUUCGGAUUGUAAAGCACUUUAAGUUGGGAGGAAGGGCAGUAAGUUAAUACCUUGCUGUUUUGACGUUACCAACAGAAUAAGCACCGGCUAACUUCGUG
RNAcentral lists this ribosomal RNA (484 nucleotides) under uncultured bacterium. Its description in RNAcentral is "partial 16S ribosomal RNA". It matches the Rfam family "Bacterial small subunit ribosomal RNA", at positions 30 to 507 of the family's 1533-position model. The record is from RNAcentral.